RNAcentral lists this ribosomal RNA (486 nucleotides) under uncultured bacterium. Its description in RNAcentral is "partial 16S ribosomal RNA". It matches the Rfam family "Bacterial small subunit ribosomal RNA", at positions 28 to 507 of the family's 1533-position model. The record is from RNAcentral.
GAUGAACGCUGGCGGCGUGCCUAAUACAUGCAAGUCGAACGCUGGAGAUCUAGCUUGCUAGAUCGAAGGAGUGGCGAACGGGUGAGUAAUACAUAAGCAACCUACCCACGAAGACUGGGAUAAUCUCUGGAAACGGGGACUAAUACCGGAUAGGUAAUCGGAAGGCAUCUUCUGGUUAUUAAAGGUUAAAAGCACUGGUGGAUGGGCUUAUGGCGCAUUAGUUAGUUGGUGAGGUAACGGCCCACCAAGACGAUGAUGCGUAGCCGGCCUGAGAGGGUGAACGGCCACAUUGGGACUGAGACACGGCCCAGACUCCUACGGGAGGCAGCAGUAGGGAAUUUUCGGCAAUGGGGGCAACCCUGACCGAGCAACGCCGCGUGAGUGAAGACGGCCUUCGGGUUGUAAAGCUCUGUUGUAAGGGAAGAACGGUAGAUAGAGAAUAUCUAAGUGACGGUACCUUACCAGAAAGCCACGGCUAACUACGUG